CUAGCCCCAACAUCAAGGAAGAGGUGGCUCAUUGAACUAUGACCUUAUGCAGAAGAGAGAUUGAUAUUACAAUGAUUAAAAUGACAAGAUGAUAAAUGAAGUGAGAUUACAAAUUGUCAUAUCUACUAUCAUUGUGACAUCAAUUCUGUGGUGGGAAGCACCUCGGAAGAAUUCUGUUUCAGAACCGUGUUGCUAAGCGUGUAGGACAUUACCAGACUUGACCUCAGAGAAAAGUCAAAAGAAAAUAGUUGGUUAUCAUCAAUUGUACAGAAAGACUUCAAUUUCUGUAACUACAUGUCUUUUAACUAUUGGAGGUAAUAAUAAAUUGCUGAUACCAGUGUUCAAAGAACAAUGUUCCCUAUCAGUCAAAAUCUGAAAAGGCUUUAGUAAAAAUUGUGAAGUUUAUUCCAAAGUAUGUACAAAAAUGCGGAAGACACACGCCAGCCAAGGCACAUUUGAAGAGGAACAAAAUUGGAGGAUCACACUACCAGAUUUUGAGAUCUACUUUAAUCUUCAGUAAUUAAGGAUGAUCUGAUACUGGCAU
Molecule: long non-coding RNA, 544 nt
Filed under: Macaca mulatta (Rhesus monkey)
Lineage: Eukaryota; Metazoa; Chordata; Mammalia; Primates; Cercopithecidae
Description: lncRNA (ENSMMUG00000052376.1)
Source: RNAcentral